CAGAGAGAAGGGGAUGCAAUUGGACAGAAAUGAAGACUGAAAUGUGGCAGAGAGAGAGAGAGAGAAAGCAAAGAUGAAGACCGGUCAACAGAAAAAGUGAAAAAGGAAGAAAAUGUGUUUUUGGCAGGAGACAGUGCAAAUAAGAGAUGGAAGCAAAGAGAAAUGAAUGACAGAGGAGCAGGGAGGAGAGGAUGGUGAAAGGAAAGAUGGAGAGAGCAGAGGGUCUUAUGAUCCAGAAAUCCACAUCAACACCAUCGCGAUCAGGCCGGAGACACAAGGAGAAUAGUGAGUACUUUAUUAAUACAAAAAGCGUGGAUAUAGAAUGAGGGGAGAACUACUUGGUCUGGAGUUGGCUGAGAUCUGGCGAGGAGGGGGAAGUCCAGAUGGUAGAUCCAACUCGAACCAGGAGACUAGAGUAACACUCACUGUAGACGAGCGACACUCGAACCCAGGAGACGGAGUGGAAGACUCACGGGAGACGGGAGCUCAACGGGGACUGGAGCUGGAGUGAUCACACACGGAAGACUGGAGAUACACUGAGACUGGAGCUGAAGUGAACCACACAGAUGACAGGAACACGAAGGAGCCAGGGAAGAGGUACUGAAUAGCAGUAGCAGAAAAUGG
This is a long non-coding RNA of Siniperca chuatsi (mandarin fish), 624 nucleotides long. RefSeq lists it as uncharacterized. The record is from RefSeq and is a predicted model, not a curated record. The transcript has 3 exons. Lineage: Eukaryota; Metazoa; Chordata; Actinopteri; Centrarchiformes; Sinipercidae.